GAUGAACGCUAGCGACAGGCCUAACACAUGCAAGUCGAGGGGCAUCGGGGUGUAGCAAUACGCUGCCGGCGACCGGCGGAUGGGUGAGUAACGCGUAUGCAACCUGCCUUCAGCAGGGGGAUAGCCCGUUGAAAGACGGAUUAAUACCCCGUAACACAGGGGCUCCGCAUGGAGAUUAUUGUUAAAGGGAUGCUUCCUUCGGGGAGUAUUCCGGCUGAAGAUGGGCAUGCGUUCCAUUAGGUAGUUGGUUGAGGUAACGGCUCACCAAGCCUGCGAUGGAUAGGGGAACUGAGAGGUUGGUCCCCCACACUGGUACUGAGACACGGACCAGACUCUUACGGGAGGCAGCAGUGAGGAAUCUUGGUCAAUGGACGGAAGUCUGAACCAGCCAUGUCGCGUGAAGGAGGACGGCCCUAAGGGUUGUAAACUUCUUUGCAGGGGAAUAAAGUUUCCACGAGAUGGGAUAUUGCAAGUACGCUGCGAAUAAGGAUCGGCUAACUCCGU
This 504-nucleotide ribosomal RNA is filed under the name uncultured bacterium. Its description in RNAcentral is "bacterial SSU rRNA". It matches the Rfam family "Bacterial small subunit ribosomal RNA", at positions 28 to 506 of the family's 1533-position model. The record is from RNAcentral.